This 504-nucleotide ribosomal RNA is filed under the name uncultured bacterium. RNAcentral describes it as "bacterial SSU rRNA". It matches the Rfam family "Bacterial small subunit ribosomal RNA", at positions 28 to 523 of the family's 1533-position model. The record is from RNAcentral.
GACGAACGCUGGCGGCGUGGAUUAGGCAUGCAAGUCGAACGGUAUCAUCCUUUCGGGGGUGAGAGAGUGGCGAACUGGUGAGUAACACGUAGGUUAUCUACCCUCAAGACGGGGACAACCCAGGGAAACUUGGGCUAAUACCGGAUGUGAGCAACUUUUAGUUGUUUGAAAGGUGGCGUAAGCUAUCGCUUGGGGAUGAGCCUGCGUCCUAUUAGUUAGUUGGUGAGGUAACGGCUCACCUAGGCAAUGAUAGGUAGGCGGCCUUAACGGGUGGUCGCCCACACUGGGGAUUGAGAUACGGCCCAGACUCCUACGGGAGGCAGCAGUCGAGAAUAGUCUACAAUGGUCGGAAGACUGAUAGUGCGGCGCCGCGUGAACGAUGAAUCCCUUCGGGGUGUAAAGUUCUUUUAUAUGUGAGCAGUGCUUCUUAUAUUAACAGUAUGGGGAGAGAGAUAUUAGCAUAUGAAUAAGCAACGGCUAACUCCGUGCCAGCAGCCGCGGUAA